AUGAGUGGCAGACGGGUGAGUAACGCGUGGGAAUCUACCCAUCCCCUACGGGAUAGCUCCGGGAAACUGGAAUUAAUACCGUAUACGUCCUUCGGGAGAAAGAUUUAUCGGGGAUGGAUGAGCCCGCGUUGGAUUAGCUAGUUGGUGGGGUAAAGGCCUACCAAGGCGACGAUCCAUAGCUGGUCUAAGAGGAUGAUCAGCCACAUUGGGACUGAGACACGGCCCAAACUCCUACGGGAGGCAGCAGUGGGGAAUAUUGGACAAUGGGCGCAAGCCUGAUCCAGCCAUGCCGCGUGAGUGAUGAAGGCCCUAGGGUUGUAAAGCUCUUUCAGUGGGGACGAUAAUGACGGUACCCACAGAAGAAGCCCCGGCUAACUUCGUGCCAGCAGCCGCGGUAAUACGAAGGGGGCUAGCGUUGUUCGGAAUUACUGGGCGUAAAGCGCACGUAGGCGGAAAUUUAAGUCAGGGGUGAAAUCCCGGGGCUCAACCCCGGAACUGCCUUUGAUACUGGGUUUCUUGAGUUCGGAAGAGGUAAGUGGAAUUGCGAGUGUAGAGGUGAAAUUCGUAGAUAUUCGCAGGAACACCAGUGGCGAAGGCGGCUUAC
RNAcentral lists this ribosomal RNA (604 nucleotides) under Aureimonas frigidaquae. RNAcentral's name for it is "bacterial SSU rRNA". It matches the Rfam family "Bacterial small subunit ribosomal RNA", at positions 91 to 729 of the family's 1533-position model. The record is from RNAcentral. Lineage: Bacteria; Pseudomonadati; Pseudomonadota; Alphaproteobacteria; Hyphomicrobiales; Aurantimonadaceae.